Molecule: long non-coding RNA, 1002 nt
Filed under: Helianthus annuus (common sunflower)
Lineage: Eukaryota; Viridiplantae; Streptophyta; Magnoliopsida; Asterales; Asteraceae
Description: hypothetical non coding rna
Source: RNAcentral
UCUCCCUUUCUCUUCAAUAUUCCGUCUCUUUUCUUCGAGUUUCUCCCCCAUUUUCUUCCGAAACCCUAACAUCUUCGCCCUCGUUCCCGAUCUCUUCAACUUAUUCUCAUCCGCCGUCUCCUUAUUCUCUUCCGCCACCGCCGCCUGAGGCGGUGACGGAGGUUGCGAACUCGGAAACCCAACGUUUUCUUCCACUACUGCCGCAUUUUGUUCCGUGCUUUCUAACAACGGCGUUUUCUCAUCAUUUUCAGUCGGUUUUUCAUCAUCAUCUGAUGAUGUUUGAUUGUGAGGUUGGGGACAGGGGACCUCGUGUGAGAUUGUUGGUUCUGUGGGGGGCUCGGGGUUGAGUUCCGGGUUGGCCCAGAUAAAUGGUGCAGAUUGUUGUGGGAUCCAAUCAUUCUUUUCGGCUAACAUGAAAUGAACUGUUGCACUUUCGCAGUUGGGGAGAACCAUGGUUUCACGAAUGGCUCCCUGUGGAAGUUAUUCAUUAGAAAGUAUCCGACACUAUGAACAUGUCAUAUCUAUGGCUAUGUAGUUAUAGCGGUCCAAAAUCAAAUAGCGGUCAUAUGAUAUAUAUAGGUUAUAGCGGUAAUUUUUAUACCAUGCAUAAUUUAUGUAUUUAUAUAUAUAAAUAUAUCUUUGAAAAAUAUUAAUAGUAAUAUCAUUCCAUUAUCAAAAACCUGUUGCAAAUCAAACACUAAUAGUAACUUUGAAGUAUUUAAUUUAAGAAUUAACACAAUCAAACACCGUUACUGCUAUAACCGCUAUAUAGGUUUCCAAAUAGCGGUAUUUAGCGCCGCUAAUAGUGGAACCGCUAUAGGCCACCAAUAUUUGGACAGCUACACACCCUGAGGUCCGCUAACCGCUAUAGCACCGCUAUUGACUGCUUAGAUCUCUGGUUAACCGGCGUUCAUUUCAGAACUAAUAACCAAUAACAAUGUGAACCAGUUUUGCUUUAAAAUUAGUUAUUAUGCGUUGAAUGCGUCUCAUUGUAAUAUAUAU